CUGGAUUAGAUCAAUGGUGCAUCAUGUUAAAAUAAAUCAUGGGUGCCCUAGUGGUAAAACCAAAUGAGAGCAGUCGCUUUCCCAAGGUGCAGAAAAUAUAAACUUAGCGAAGAGCACACUUCUGACCUCCAGUCACGC
Molecule: long non-coding RNA, 138 nt
Organism: Leopardus geoffroyi (Geoffroy's cat)
Lineage: Eukaryota; Metazoa; Chordata; Mammalia; Carnivora; Felidae
Exons: 3
Source: RefSeq, a predicted model, not a curated record